GACGAACGCUGGCGGCGUGCUUAACACAUGCAAGUCGAACGGAAAGGCCUGCUUUCCCUUGUGGAUUGCGGGUACUCGAGUGGCGAACGGGUGAGUAACACGUGAGUGAUCUGCCCCCAACUUGGGUAUAAGCCUGGGAAACUGGGUCUAAUUCCCGAUAGGACUGCAGGGUGGUGCCUGUGGUGGAAAACGAUUUUCUAGUGGUUGGGGAUGAGCUCGCGGCCUAUCAGCUUGUUGGUGGGGCAAUGGCCUACCAAGGCGGCGACGGGUAGCCGGCCUGAGAGGGUGGACGGCCACAUUGGGACUGAGAUACGGCCCAGACUCCUACGGGAGGCAGCAGUGGGGAAUAUUGCACAAUGGGCGGAAGCCUGAUGCAGCGACGCCGCGUGGGGGAUGACGGCCUUCGGGUUGUAAACUCCUUUCGACCGCGAGGAAGCCACCUGGUUGGAAGGGUGGUGACGGUAGUGGUAGAAGAAGCACCGGCUAACUACGUG
This 494-nucleotide ribosomal RNA is filed under the name uncultured bacterium. RNAcentral describes it as "partial 16S ribosomal RNA". It matches the Rfam family "Bacterial small subunit ribosomal RNA", at positions 28 to 507 of the family's 1533-position model. The record is from RNAcentral.